Molecule: ribosomal RNA, 1460 nt
Filed under: metagenome
Description: bacterial LSU rRNA
Rfam family: Bacterial large subunit ribosomal RNA
Source: RNAcentral
UGAGCGAUGGAGGGACGCAGGAGGCUGAGGAAUGCACACGAUCGGAAAUGUGUGUCCAAGCAGCAAGUCUGAGAACGAGUGAAAUGCUUUUUCUCUCAAGGACAAGUUGUGAUGGGGAGCGAAAUUUAGUAGCGAAGUUCCUGAUGUCACACUGCCAAGAAAAGCUUCUAGUGAGAAAGUAACUGCCCGUACCGCAAACCGACACAGGUAGUUGAGGAGAGAAUCCUAAGGUGUGCGAGAGAACUCUCGUUAAGGAACUCGGCAAAAUGACCCCGUAACUUCGGGAGAAGGGGUGCUGACCGCAAGGUCAGCCGCAGUGAAUAGGCCCAAGCGACUGUUUAUCAAAAACACAGGUCUCUGCAAAAUCGAAAGAUGACGUAUAGGGGCUGACACCUGCCCGGUGCUGGAAGGUUAAGAGGAGAGGUUAGCGCAAGCGAAGCUUUGAAUUGAAGCCCCAGUAAACGGCGGCCGUAACAAUAACGGUCCUAAGGUAGCGAAAUUCCUUGUCGGGUAAGUUCCGACCCGCACGAAAGGCGUAACGAUUUGGGCACUGUCUCAACGAGAGACUCGGUGAAAUUAUAGUACCAGUGAAGAUGCUGGUUACCCGCGACAGGACGGAAAGACCCCAUGGAGCUUUACUGCAGUUUGAUAUUGCGUGUUUGUAUCACAUGUACAGGAUAGGUAGGAGCCGAAGAUACCGGGACGCCAGUCUCGGAGGAGGCAACGGUGGGAUACUACCCUUGUGAUAUGACCACUCUAACCCGCUGCUCUUAGCGAGCAGGGAGACAGUGUCAGACGGGCAGUUUAACUGGGGCGGUCGCCUCCAAAAAUGUAACGGAGGCGCCCAAAGGUUCCCUCAGAAUGGUUGGAAAUCAUUCGUAGAGUGUAAAGGCAGAAGGGAGCUUGACUGCGAGACCUACAAGUCGAGCAGGGACGAAAGUCGGGCUUAGUGAUCCGGUGGUUCCGCAUGGAAGGGCCAUCGCUCAACGGAUAAAAGCUACCCUGGGGAUAACAGGCUUAUCUCCCCCAAGAGUUCACAUCGACGGGGAGGUUUGGCACCUCGAUGUCGGCUCAUCGCAUCCUGGGGCUGUAGUCGGUCCCAAGGGUUGGGUUGUUCGCCCAUUAAAGCGGUACGCGAGCUGGGUUCAGAACGUCGUGAGACAGUUCGGUCCCUAUCCGUCGCGGGCGUUGGAAAUUUGAGAGGAGCUGUCCUUAGUACGAGAGGACCGGGAUGGACACACCGCUGGUGUACCAGUUGUUCUGCCAAGAGCAUCGCUGGGUAGCUAUGUGUGGACGGGAUAAACGCUGAAAGCAUCUAAGCGUGAAGCCCCCCUCAAGAUGAGAUUUCCCAUCACUUUAAGUGAGUAAGACCCCUGAGAGAUGAUCAGGUAGAUAGGUUGGGAGUGGAAGUACAGCGAUGUAUGGAGCGGACCAAUACUAAUCGGUCGAGGACUUAACCU